AUUGAACGCUGGCGGAAUGCUUUACACAUGCAAGUCGAACGGCAGCACGGGAGCUCGCUCCUGGUGGCGAGUGGCGAACGGGUGAGUAACGCGUCGGAACGUACCGAGUAAUGGGGGAUAACGCAGCGAAAGCUGUGCUAAUACCGCAUACGCCCUGAGGGGGAAAGUGGGGGAUCGCAAGACCUCACGUUAUUCGAGCGGCCGACGUCUGAUUAGCUUGUUGGUGAGGUAAUGGCUCACCAAGGCGACGAUCAGUAGCGGGUCUGAGAGGAUGAUCCGUCACACUGGAACUGAGACACGGUCCAGACUCCUACGGGAGGCAGCAGUGGGGAAUUUUCCACAAUGGGGGCAACCCUGAUGGAGCAACGCCGCGUGCAGGAUGAAGGCCUCGGGUUGUAACUAGCUUUAUUGUGUCGAAGAAUAU
Molecule: ribosomal RNA, 424 nt
Filed under: uncultured bacterium
Lineage: Bacteria
Description: bacterial SSU rRNA
Rfam family: Bacterial small subunit ribosomal RNA
Source: RNAcentral